AUUGAACGCUGGCGGCAGGCCUAACACAUGCAAGUCGAGCGGAUGAAGGGAGCUUGCUCCUGGAUUCAGCGGCGGACGGGUGAGUAAUGCCUAGGAAUCUGCCUGGUAGUGGGGGAUAACGUCUGGAAACGGGCGCUAAUACCGCAUACGUCCUGAGGGAGAAAGUGGGGGAUCUUCGGACCUCACGCUAUCAGAUGAGCCUAGGUCGGAUUAGCUAGUUGGUGGGGUAAAGGCCUACCAAGGCGACGAUCCGUAACUGGUCUGAGAGGAUGAUCAGUCACACUGGAACUGAGACACGGUCCAGACUCCUACGGGAGGCAGCAGUGGGGAAUAUUGGACAAUGGGCGAAAGCCUGAUCCAGCCAUGCCGCGUGUGCGAAGAAGGUCUUCGGAUUGUAAAGCACUUUAAGUUGGGAGGAAGGGCAGUAAGUUAAUACCUUGCUGUUUUGACGUUACCAACAGAAUAAGCACCGGCUAACUUCGUG
RNAcentral lists this ribosomal RNA (484 nucleotides) under uncultured bacterium. Its description in RNAcentral is "partial 16S ribosomal RNA". It matches the Rfam family "Bacterial small subunit ribosomal RNA", at positions 30 to 507 of the family's 1533-position model. The record is from RNAcentral.